UACGUAGGGGGCGAGCGUUGUCCGGAUUCAUUGGGCGUAAAGCGCGCGUAGGCGGCCCCGCAAGUCGGCCGUGAAAUCUCCGGGCUCAACUCGGAGGGGUCGGGCGAGACUGCGAGGCUCGAGGUGGGCAGAGGGCAGUGGAAUUCCGGGUGUAGUGGUGGAAUGCGUAGAGAUCCGGAGGAACACCAGUGGCGAAGGCGGCUGCCUGGGCCUGGCCUGACGCUGAGGCGCGAAAGCCAGGGGAGCGAACGGG
RNAcentral lists this ribosomal RNA (253 nucleotides) under uncultured bacterium. Its description in RNAcentral is "partial 16S ribosomal RNA". It matches the Rfam family "Bacterial small subunit ribosomal RNA", at positions 524 to 776 of the family's 1533-position model. The record is from RNAcentral.